UGCACGUCGAACGGUAACAUUUCUAGCUUGCUAGAAGAUGACGAGUGGCGGACGGGUGAGUAAUGCUUGGGAACUUGCCUUUGCGAGGGGGAUAACAGUUGGAAACGACUGCUAAUACCGCAUAAUGUCUUCGGACCAAACGGGGCUUAGGCUCCGGCGCAAAGAGAGGCCCAAGUGAGAUUAGCUAGUUGGUAAGGUAACGGCUUACCAAGGCGACGAUCUCUAGCUGUUCUGAGAGGAAGAUCAGCCACACUGGGACUGAGACACGGCCCAGACUCCUACGGGAGGCAGCAGUGGGGAAUAUUGCACAAUGGGGGAAACCCUGAUGCAGCCAUGCCGCGUGUGUGAAGAAGGCCUUCGGGUUGUAAAGCACUUUCAGUUGUGAGGAAAAGUUAGUAGUUAAUACCUGCUAGCCGUGACGUUAACAACAGAAGAAGCACCGGCUAACUCCGUGCCAGCAGCCGCGGUAAUACGGAGGGUGCGAGCGUUAAUCGGAAUUACUGGGCGUAAAGCGCACGCAGGCGGUUUGUUAAGCUAGAUGUGAAAGCCCCGGGCUCAACCUGGGAUGGUCAUUUAGAACUGGCAGACUAGAGUCUUGGAGAGGGGAGUGGAAUUCCAGGUGUAGCGGUGAAAUGCGUAGAUAUCUGGAGGAACAUCAGUGGCGAAGGCGACUCUCUGGCCAAAGACUGACGCUCAUGUGCGAAAGUGUGGGUAGCGAACAGGAUUAGAUACCCUGGUAGUCCACACCGUAAACGCUGUCUACUAGCUGUGUGUGUCUUUAAGACGUGCGUAGCGAAGCUAACGCGCUAAGUAGACCGCCUGGGGAGUACGGCCGCAAGGUUAAAACUCAAAUGAAUUGACGGGGGCCCGCACAGCGGUGGAGCAUGUGAUUUUAUUCGAUGCAACGCGAGAACCCUACCUACACUUGACAUGCUGAGAGGUUACUAAGAGAUAGUUUCGUGCCUUUCGGGAACUCAGACACAGGUGCUUGCAUGGCUGUCGUCAGCUCGUGUCGUGGAGAUGGUGGGUUAAAGUCUC
This 1038-nucleotide ribosomal RNA is filed under the name uncultured Gammaproteobacteria bacterium. Its description in RNAcentral is "bacterial SSU rRNA". It matches the Rfam family "Bacterial small subunit ribosomal RNA", at positions 56 to 1088 of the family's 1533-position model. The record is from RNAcentral. Lineage: Bacteria; Pseudomonadati; Pseudomonadota; Gammaproteobacteria.